RNAcentral lists this long non-coding RNA (817 nucleotides) under Bos indicus x Bos taurus (hybrid cattle). RNAcentral's name for it is "lncRNA (ENSBIXG00000022767.1)". Lineage: Eukaryota; Metazoa; Chordata; Mammalia; Artiodactyla; Bovidae. The record is from RNAcentral.
UGCUGGGAAAGAUUGAAGGCGGGAGGAGAAGGGGACAAUAGAGGAUGAGAUGGUUGGAUGGCAUCGGUGACUCAAUGGACCCCAUGACUCAAUGGACAUGAGUUUGAGCAAGCUCUGGGGGUUGGUGAUAGACAGGAAACCUGGCAUGCUGCAGUCCAUGGGGUCACAAAGAGUCGGACAUGACUGAGCGACUGAACUGACUGAACUGAUGGAGUGGAGGUGUCCCCUCUGACCUUUCUACCCCUCUUUUGUUCUUCAACAGAAAGAUUCCACAAAGGCAGCUGGGAAGAUUACACAAAGCAGAGUUGACUUGAGUUUCCAGUCUGGCAUCUGUGCUUCCCAAACAGUCAUCCUUAUGUCAUCUGGUCCUCUGCCCUUUUGAAACCAGAUCUCAGUUUGCUGGUUCCUGUGAGCAGUGGAAAGAAAGAACAGUGAAUGUGAUCCAACAGAGUUCAGUAUGGAACCGCUCGACAAGCCUGAAUCAUCAGUUUCUCGCCUCUGCAGUCUUAGGAUCUGCUGGGUUGAAGGCCCUCGUUUCCAGGGCUGAUGAAGUAGCGCUUUGUAAAGGGCUGCAGCAGUGGGCCCAGUAGACUUGAAGCUGUGACUCCUGCUUGGACACUUUGGAAUCCUCGUGGUGUUGCACCAGUCAUCCUAAUUUCGGUGAGCUUUAUCAUAUGUCCCAGUGAGGAUCUGGAAUUAUCACUACCCCAAUAGGGAUAUAAAGAAGUGGGUCUAAAAUGCAAGAAACUCACCAAGUCAUCUUUUGAUGCCUUCAAACCCAGUGAUAAUCACACGUUGAAAAUCAUAGCAAUCGUAA